AUUGAACGCUGGCGGCAGGCCUAACACAUGCAAGUCGAGCGGCAGCGGAAAGUAGCUUGCUACUUUGCCGGCGAGCGGCGGACGGGUGAGUAAUGUCUGGGAAACUGCCUGAUGGAGGGGGAUAACUACUGGAAACGGUGGCUAAUACCGCAUAACGUCGCAAGACCAAAGUGGGGGACCUUCGGGCCUCACGCCAUCGGAUGUGCCCAGAUGGGAUUAGCUAGUAGGUGGGGUAAUGGCUCACCUAGGCGACGAUCCCUAGCUGGUCUGAGAGGAUGACCAGCCACACUGGAACUGAGACACGGUCCAGACUCCUACGGGAGGCAGCAGUGGGGAAUGUUGCACAAUGGGCGCAAGCCUGAUGCAGCCAUGCCGCGUGUGUGAAGAAGGCCUUCGGGUUGUAAAGCACUUUCAGCGAGGAGGAAGGCAUCAUACUUAAUACGUGUGGUGAUUGACGUUACUCGCAGAAGAAGCACCGGCUAACUCCGUGCCAGCAGCCGCGGUAAUACGGAGGGUGCAAGCGUUAAUCGGAAUUACUGGGCGUAAAGCGCACGCAGGCGGUUUGUUAANUCANAUGUGAAAUCCCCGCGCUUAACGUGGGAACUGCAUUUGAAACUGGCAAGCUAGANUCUUGUA
Molecule: ribosomal RNA, 636 nt
Filed under: uncultured prokaryote
Description: bacterial SSU rRNA
Rfam family: Bacterial small subunit ribosomal RNA
Source: RNAcentral